Neodiprion fabricii is the source of this 340-nucleotide long non-coding RNA. RefSeq lists it as uncharacterized. The record is from RefSeq and is a predicted model, not a curated record. NCBI's taxonomy places the organism in Eukaryota, Metazoa, Arthropoda, Insecta, Hymenoptera, Diprionidae. The transcript is spliced from 3 exons.
UCUGGCUGUCCACGUCCUUGACCUGGUGACUUUUGACCUUCAGGACUAAUUUUUCCUAGUUCUGACUGUCCUGGUUUUCCACCUUGUGGAUUUUGACAUCCAGGAAAAAGGAGGUAUGACCCGAAGUGGACAAGGAGGAGGACGCGAAGGACGAGGAGAACCAGGUGGACGAGGAAGACGAGGAUUUGUGCUCGGUGUAAUCCAAGGUGGUUAGUGGUGGUCGUUGGUGGUGGUUGACGGUGGUUGGAGGUGGUCGGAGGUGGACAAGAAGAAGGACGAGGAAGACAAGGAGAUGAAGGUGGACGAGGUGGACGAGGAUUUGUGCUCGGUAUAACCCGAG